CCUACGGGAGGCAGCAGUGAGGAAUAUUGGUCAAUGGACGAGAGUCUGAACCAGCCAAGUAGCGUGAAGGAUGACUGCCCUAUGGGUUGUAAACUUCUUUUAUAUGGGAAUAAAAUGUUCCACGUGUGGGAUUUUGUAUGUACCAUAUGAAUAAGGAUCGGCUAACUCCGUGCCAGCAGCCGCGGUAAUACGGAGGAUCCGAGCGUUAUCCGGAUUUAUUGGGUUUAAAGGGAGCGUAGGUUGAUUGUUAAGUCAGUUGUGAAAGUUUGCGGCUCAACCGUAAAAUUGCAGUUGAAACUGGCAGUCUUGAGUACAGUAGAGGUGGGCGGAAUUCGUGGUGUAGCGGUGAAAUGCUUAGAUAUCACGAAGAACUCCGAUUGCGAAGGCAGUUCACUGGACUGCAACUGACACUGAGGCUCGAAAGUGUGGGUAUCAAACAGGAUUAGAUACCCCUGUAGUC
Molecule: ribosomal RNA, 460 nt
Filed under: uncultured bacterium
Lineage: Bacteria
Description: partial 16S ribosomal RNA
Rfam family: Bacterial small subunit ribosomal RNA
Source: RNAcentral